RNAcentral lists this ribosomal RNA (303 nucleotides) under uncultured bacterium. RNAcentral describes it as "bacterial SSU rRNA". It matches the Rfam family "Bacterial small subunit ribosomal RNA", at positions 355 to 657 of the family's 1533-position model. The record is from RNAcentral.
UGAGGAAUAUUGGUCAAUGGGCGAUAGCCUGAACCAGCCAAGUCGCGUGAGGGAAGACGGCCCUAUGGGUUGUAAACCUCUUUUGUCGGGGAGCAAGGUCGCUACGUGUAGCGAUUUGAGAGUACCCGAAGAAAAAGCAUCGGCUAACUCCGUGCCAGCAGCCGCGGUAAUACGGAGGAUGCGAGCGUUAUCCGGAUUUAUUGGGUUUAAAGGGUGCGUAGGCGGGAGAUCAAGUCAGCGGUAAAAAUGCGGGGCCCAACCCCGUCGAGCCGUUGAAACUGGUUUUCUUGAGUGGGCGAGAGG